Molecule: ribosomal RNA, 376 nt
Filed under: uncultured bacterium
Lineage: Bacteria
Description: bacterial SSU rRNA
Rfam family: Bacterial small subunit ribosomal RNA
Source: RNAcentral
UACGUAGGUGGCAAGCGUUAUCCGGAAUUAUUGGGCGUAAAGCGCGCGCAGGCGGUUUCUUAAGUCUGAUGUGAAAGCCCACGGCUCAACCGUGGAGGGUCAUUGGAAACUGGGGAACUUGAGUGCAGAAGAGAAAAGCGGAAUUCCACGUGUAGCGGUGAAAUGCGUAGAGAUGUGGAGGAACACCAGUGGCGAAGGCGGCUUUUUGGUCUGUAACUGACGCUGAGGCGCGAAAGCGUGGGGAGCAAACAGGAUUAGAUACCCUGGUAGUCCACGCCGUAAACGAUGAGUGCUAAGUGUUAGAGGGUUUCCGCCCUUUAGUGCUGCAGCUAACGCAUUAAGCACUCCGCCUGGGGAGUACGGUCGCAAGACUGAA